RNAcentral lists this ribosomal RNA (492 nucleotides) under uncultured bacterium. RNAcentral's name for it is "partial 16S ribosomal RNA". It matches the Rfam family "Bacterial small subunit ribosomal RNA", at positions 29 to 507 of the family's 1533-position model. The record is from RNAcentral.
AGUGAACGCUGGCGGUAGGCCUAACACAUGCAAGUCGAACGGCAGCACAGUAAGAGCUUGCUAUUACGGGUGGCGAGUGGCGGAUGGGUGCGGAAUACCUCCGAAUCUACUUUUUCGUGGGGGAUAACGUAGGGAAACUUACGCUAAUACCGCAUACGACCUACGGGUGAAAGCAGGGGAUCUUCGGACCUUGCGCGAUCGAAUGAGCCGAUGUCGGAUUAGCUAGUUGGCGGGGUAAAGGCCCACCAAGGCGACGAUCCGUAGCUGGUCUGAGAGGAUGAUCAGCCACACUGGAACUGAGACACGGUCCAGACUCCUACGGGAGGCAGCAGUGGGGAAUAUUGGACAAUGGGCGAAAGCCUGAUCCAGCCAUGCCGCGUGGGUGAAGAAGGCCUUCGGAUUGUAAAGCCCUUUUAUUGGGGAAGAAAAGCAGCAGGUUAAUACCCCGCUGUUCUGACGGUACCCAAAGAAUAAGCACCGGCUAACUUCGUG